Molecule: ribosomal RNA, 498 nt
Filed under: uncultured bacterium
Lineage: Bacteria
Description: partial 16S ribosomal RNA
Rfam family: Bacterial small subunit ribosomal RNA
Source: RNAcentral
AUUGAACGCUGGCGGCAUGCCUUACACAUGCAAGUCGAACGGUAACGCGGGGCAACCUGGCGACGAGUGGCGAACGGGUGAGUAAUGCAUCGGAACGUGCCCGGUCGUGGGGGAUAACGCAGCGAAAGCUGCGCUAAUACCGCAUACGAUCUGAGGAUGAAAGCGGGGGACCGUAAGGCCUCGCGCGAUCGGAGCGGCCGAUGUCAGAUUAGGUAAUUGGUGGGGUAAAGGCUCACCAAGCCAACGAUCUGUAGCUGGUCUGAGAGGACGACCAGCCACACUGGGACUGAGACACGGCCCAGACUCCUACGGGAGGCAGCAGUGGGGAAUUUUGGACAAUGGGCGAAAGCCUGAUCCAGCAAUGCCGCGUGCAGGAAGAAGGCCUUCGGGUUGUAAACUGCUUUUGUACGGAGCGAAAAGGUCUCCUCUAAUACAGGGGGCUCAUGACGGUACCGUAAGAAUAAGCACCGGCUAACUACGUGCCAGCCGCCGCGGUAA